This 227-nucleotide long non-coding RNA is filed under the name Carica papaya (papaya). Its description in RNAcentral is "long non-coding RNA (CPAP_LNC009116)". Lineage: Eukaryota; Viridiplantae; Streptophyta; Magnoliopsida; Brassicales; Caricaceae. The record is from RNAcentral.
AUCGGACGGCCCGGAUGCGUUUCCACUCGCGUAGUCCAGAUUUAUUAUCUCUUUAAACCCAAUCGUAUGGUCCAGAUCAAAUCGCGAUGAAUGGUUCAGAUUCAUCUUCUCUUUAAAUGAGAUCAGACGGUUGAUAUCAAACGCGAUGAACAGCCCAAAUUUAAGAGAGACAGGUAUAAAUAUCUCAUUUCACACCAAACCUAAACCCUAGCUGCCAAACCCCCGCU